UACGUAGGGGCUAGCGUUAUCCGGAAUUACUGGGCGUAAAGGGUGCGUAGGUGGUUUCUUAAGUCAGAGGUGAAAGGCUACGGCUCAACCGUAGUAAGCCUUUGAAACUGAGAAACUUGAGUGCAGGAGAGGAGAGUAGAAUUCCUAGUGUAGCGGUGAAAUGCGUAGAUAUCACGAGGAACUCCGAUUGCGCAGGCAGCUUACUAAACUACUACUGACGCUCAGGCACGAAGGCGUUGGGAUCAAACAGGAUUAGAUACCCCGGUAGUCCCUGAG
Molecule: ribosomal RNA, 276 nt
Filed under: uncultured prokaryote
Description: partial 16S ribosomal RNA
Rfam family: Bacterial small subunit ribosomal RNA
Source: RNAcentral